UUUCUCUCUUUCUUUCUCUCUCUCUUUCUUUCUCUCUUUUUUUCCUCCUCUUUAUGGAAUGUAGGAUCAUGACCUCAUGACCUUUCUUUUUCUUUACUUUCUUCCUCUUCAAAAUAUUUUUCUUUGUGUGAUGAGCCCCAGAAAGUGCUUACAUAUUCAGUGUGGAAUUCUUUCUUUUUUCAUGUUGCUCCCUCCUUGGUUGUGUUAACCCUCUAUAGCAAAUUUCCAUUUCUAGAAGUUAGAAGUCAGAAAAGGAAUUUCUGCACACUCUGUACCUUGUCUUCAGCUAAAAUAGAUAUAAGAAGUUUAUGUUAUCUUUAUAUUUACAUCUUCCUAAACCAAGAUACCUUAUAAAAUACAUAUUUAGGUAUGGAAGGACUUCUUAAUGUUACAAAAGAUUUCAUUACAGAUGCUGUGCACAACUAAUGAGUGCAGGUUGUAUGCUGAUGGCUUCAUAACUCUGCAAAGUGCAACCCUCUCCAAAAAAGUUUUUAACUUCCCAGGUGUGGGGUUAGUUAUCAUCUAAUCAUGGCUGUCAGUAGGACAGUAAGACACACAACUUGAUCCAGUUUCUGUAAUUACUGUAUUUUAAACCUUGCUCAAAGUCUUUAUCCCUCUUCUAUUACUAUUUGUAUAAUGAUGUGCUAGAAGCACUUUGUCCUACUCAUUUUUGGGGGAAGAGGAGGGACAGGAGAGGAGGUACUUAAGUUUUUAGAUAAACUACCUGUAACUUAAUUUAAUCCGGAGUGAAUCGUUAAUCAGAAGAGUGUUGUAAAAUCAUUAUGCAAGGACAAUUACUAUUUGUAGUCCAUAGGUAAAGAGACAGUAGCUUAAGCUGCAUAGACUGACUCGAAAUGAUAACAAGCAUAGAAAGUGCAGAACAGCUUGAAGCAGAGAAAAGGAGUCAUGCUUCUAGGAACUUUCCUUUGGUUUUAAUUCCAGUAGCAGAAACUGAGUGGGGUAAGGAUGGGGCUGGGUUUGUAACCUUGGGUAGCAGGGCCUGGUGCUACUGCACUUUGCAAUUAAUGAGCCUAAAGGAGAGUACUCUGGCUUAGGGAGGACUGUCAGGGCCGGGCUUAGAUGAGCUUCAGGAAUGAGGGCCCUGCCAGGGAAAUACUUUCAGAGGAAUAGGGGAUUGCAGGUAGCCAGGUUUUCCUCACCUCACUCUUGCCUGUGGCUAUCUCAAUAUAUCAAAGUACAAACAUGAGCUAUUACAGCUCCGUUUAACACCAUCUGUGCCCAGGUGGAUGGAAUGUGCUGAAAGCCCGUCUGAUGGCUGUUUAGCUACCUGAAAGACUGAAGUUAAGGUCUAUUUUUUCUCUACUGCCUAAAAUGUUUCUGCUCUUGUUUUGCUGCAAGCUAGUACUGGCAUGGUCGGUGAAUAGUAUUUCCCUCCUUUUAGCUGAAUCACUUGUUCUAGACCAUUAUGGGAGGCAAAAAUACUGCUUUUGAGAAACGACUGGGCUGCUGCAUUUUAUUAACUGAGUGAUUUCAAAAAGCCUACUAAUUUGCUUACAUUUAAAAAGAAAAUGGGAAAAUAUAUCUGUCCUACAUCUGGGAUUCUAAUCAGAAGAAAAAGGAGAUGAGCAAGGAGAGAAUGAGCCCUCUGCCUUAGCAGCAAACAAACUGCCCUGAAUAAAUGGAGAAAAUGAAACCAAAGGGGAAAAUGUCUGCACCAAGAAGGUGCUGCAUUUCACUGCUCAGUUAUAGCAGCCCUUUCCUUUGCCACAAAGAUGCAUUCUGUGAAGAUGUUUCUUCCAAAUGUUUACAGCAUUGUUGGGAAUGUUUUGAUCUCACUUGAGCACUCUCUUGAAUGCUGUGUAGGAAGGUUGCUGGCCAUAGAGCCUUGAGUUCUGUUCCCAGUUACCAUACAACUGGAAUGCUGGUUUUGAGUUGACAGCAGGGUUCUAUUUGUCACGUAUGGCGCAGCAUUGGCUUCUUGGGAUGGAAACACAUUGUACUGACUUGGAUGCUUCCCGUACAUUGUAAGUACCAGUUUGUUAUAUAAAUUCUGUACUUUUCCUUGGUACAAAGGUCUAGCAAAGUCCUUUUCUUUCAAGAAAGAAACUCAUGAUCUUUAACUGCUCUUGUAAUUUCACGUCUAGUUUAGGUUUUGUUGUUGUUUUCACAUAUUGGAUAAGGGCACACACCCCACCUUCAUGGAACUGCGCUUUAUAAUGUGUCAGGCACUUGGGCAUGUUCCUGAGGGUGCAUAAAUCCCACAGGUCUUGUCUGUUGAAGAAAAUGUCACCACUUUGUCAGAGUUACAUUGUUACAAACUUUCACAGGUUGAAAACUUCCAGUUUGAAAUGUCUAGUGAUUUAUUCUAGUCCAGUUUAUGUUGCUGGAGAAUAGUAUUAAGUUGAAUUUAAACUAUAAGAAAGGGCAGGUAUAUACUUACUAAAACUAUAUAAAGCCAUUUAAAGUGUUGCAGCACACUAUUUCUUAAAAUAUUUGACUUAAAGAAGCUUUUCUACAUUAACAACUUCAAAGAAGCUUGUGCCUAUUUUAUGAAGAGGUGAGGAUUAAUUUUAUCCUAGUGAAGUAAGAUUCCUUCUAUAAUAAGUCUUUUCCCAGCAGGUAUGAGAGCAGGAUCUGAUUUAGCCACUCCUAAUGAUCAUCAAUGCUUCUGUCAGUAAGCAUAAUUUAGUCAAAGAAAAUUUGAGCAGUGCACAGACUUGCUGUACAUCAUCAUGUACAGUCUCCUGUUUUGCUGCAGAGUAAGAGAAAUACUCCUGCUUGGUUUAAUCUGACAUUGAGAGGCUUACAGGUGCUAAACAAUGUCGUGUUAAACAAUGCCACCUACAUGUCACCCCAGGUUGUGCCCAGUAGAGCUUCAUUGCACCUCUGGGUAUGAUACAUUGCACCCUGCAAAGAUUAAGAAUGGAAAUCAUCACAGCUUGUACAAGCUGAAAUUAAAUGAACCAGAGAAAAAUAUAAUAUUAAUAAUUGAAUAUUAUUAAAGUAUUCUUUCAUAACAAGCAAAUUGUAACAGCUCUCUCCCUGAAUGGAAACUCUUUUUUAUACUGCAAUCUGUGUUAAGGGUUUAUCCAAAAAUAACACAGGAAAUACUGUAUAUAGUUACUGGAGCAAGGCAUUUCUGGCAGAUUGUCAUGGCAUGCUCAAAGUCUGUGACCUGGCUUACAUUUGUCUUUCAUUUAAAGUGUGGAAGAGAUUUUGAUAAGUGCUGACAGCAGUUCAAACCCCUACCUACUGAACGGAGGGUUGAAGAGUCACAAGCUAUAGUUAAAUAAACGGGCUUUAUCAAUCUGCAAAUGAAAUGCCUUCUGUUAGUCAUGGUUUGCUUAUACAAGACAAUGGAUAAUAAAUUAUUAACUGAAUGAGGUAAGUAAAUCCAUUUUGUACUGUUUCCUGCUGUGUGUAACAAAUAAUCCCAAACCUGUGAGUUUUCUAAUUUCUCAGGAACAAAAUGCCAUCUAGUGGUAACUGCUGGAUAUUUUGAGCAAAUACUUUUUUUAUAUUGACAUCAAGUUUUCAUAUUUUUUUUCCUGGUAUUCUACAUUUUACAGCACAUUAAGGUCUUGAGAGAAGAUAAAGAGCUGGGGGGAAGGUACAGUCCCCCCAAGCUGGACCAGCGGUGGCAGGGGCGACACGCUUCCCAGCUGCUUGGGAGCUCUCUUUCUGCCUCUGCAGCUGGCCUCAGGCAGGUCAGGCAGGUUUCCCCUGCCAAGCAUUGGGUAAAAUUUCAUACCUAGUUGGUAGGCCACACCUUACUGUUACUUGAUACUAAAAUACAAUCUGUCCAUUGUGGUAUGAAAAGAGCUGAAAGCCACCUCUGCUUCACUGACUGCUCAUCUGUCUCUCCUGGUCGGAGGCUUUUCCCUCUAGGUCGUCAUUCUCCAAGGAGCUAAGGGGAAGCCAUCUCUUCUGCUCUUCCAGUGAACUACCAGGGAAUGCUAUAAGCUUCUCCAUGGCGUAGUUUGCCUACUUGACUCCUCAGAGUAGAAUAUAAACUAAAAAAUAUUAACACUAAAAUUUGGCUUCUAGAACAGACUCCUGAAAAAGUAACUGCCAUAAACUGGCUUUUAGAUUUGAAUAACAGAGUUUAUUUGUACAUCAAGAAUAAAUAAUAAAAAUAAAACCUUAUGGUUCUAUUUAAACAUAUUCAUUAAUGUAAACAGGGCCUAGGAGUCUGCAUGUGAUAUGAGCGCACUGAUGGAGAUAAUCUGGCUUUACACAUGGAGCCGACUGCGGAGAGCUCUGCAGCAUUUCAUCUUUCCAUGGGUUUGUGCUUCAUUGUGAUAGAGGUUGUGGUGUUGUUUAUGGGUCUGCUUUUUCCAUGCACUGUUUGAAUUCCUCCAUCUGCUGGUCCAUGUUGCCCUAUUCCAUUGCAAGGUGCUAGCAGCAGCAGUUGCCAGGGCUGUAAUCUGACCGCGGGUCUCUGGGAUGUGUUCUGCAGGCUGGUGCAGAAAUCUAAUCUGUCCCACUGACGUCACUGUAGAAGUCUAUGAAGAUGGCAUGGCAUCGGUUUGCUGGGCUGGGAAGGAGUUUGUGGCUAGCUAAAGAAAUCCUUAACCUUUACUCUUGUUUUAUAUGCUAUUUAAAGUAAAUUGCAGCAGACUAAAGAGUCUGAUUAACGAGGGCACUACCAGCACAGGUCUUUAAGAGGGUCAUCUGAGAGUUUGGGCAGCUCUGCAGUCGCUGCCGUUGCUGUGAUGUAGCACUCAUGCACUCGUCUGUCUCUCUGGAGUGCUGCGGGUUAUUUUCCUAGACACUGGCAUUGGCCAACAGCCAGUGCAGCUGCAGAGAAACAGGAGGGAGCAGAAACAGGACUAGAGCAGCGCUGCUUUAGGUGGGAGUAAAUUGUCAUGGAAGCAUGUUUAGGUAGGCAGAACAAGAAGAGUUUGGGGAGCAUUAGCAAAUGCAGACUGAAAAGCACCAAGAAAUCUGUCUUGCUUGUGCUUGCUAAAAAUAGAUGAGGAAAUCCCUGGAUCUGGGACAAUUUCUUAAAGCUAGAAUAGUGGCUUUCUCUGAGUAACAACUGCAGUCUUGCAUUGCAGCUGUUGCAGCUGCAUCUGCCCUUCACUCUCAAGUUUACAGAGCAGCAGGAUGCUUUAAGGAGGGUAUGAUUCUCCACAGUCAGAAGAAAGGCAUUCUGUUGUGCACACAGUAAAGAAAUUUUAAGAGCAAGUGGCCCUGCGAUGAAACCUUGAAACAAAGGAGUAAGAAUAGGGAUAACAACUGAUCAGUAAUGAUCCACCUGAACUUUGCAUCUUUUUUUGAAGCUGUUUAUCUCCAUUCAAAAACAAGUGAAAUAGAAUAUAGUGCCUACACAAUGUUUUUCAUUCCUUCAAAGAACUGGGCAGAAUGCAGAUAAUGUCACUUCCAGUGUUUUUAUGGGGAUUUUUUGUCUUUAUAUAGCUAAUGGCUAUAUGCUAUAAGGAGGAAAUUAUUUUAAUGCUAUAUAACAUUAUAGUCUGGAUUAUUGCUUUUGAUUUAAACACUCAGACAAUAAACUAAUUGGAUUUUUUUUGGCCCCUGUUCUCCUAAAACAGUUUAUGACACAUUUGUCAUGAAAAUGCAUCCACGUGGGAGCAGAAAGGAGAGCAGUUUUCCCGUGGGGGACCAAAGAAGCUGUUUUCUGACAACAAGCAGCAAAGUGGCCGUUGAAAUGUUGCUGCAAUGCCCACAGAAAUGGUGAGGGUCUGGGUCCCUCUGCUCCUGCAGUAUUGCACAGGGUUUGCCAAAGAGCUUUGCUCGGUUUUGUCUUUUCAAAAUGUAUUUUCUUGACUUACUGGACUUUAAGAAAAAAAACAAAAAACAAAACCAAACUUCUUUGGAAAGUACUCCCUUAUCAGUGACUCGUUGGUGCAGAUAAACUCUGAAUUCUGAAGUCAUUGUGUUGGCAUUGAAAGCAUUGGUAUCACAUCUCUGUGUAGAAAACCACUAGAAACUGUGUUGGAAUAAACCAGGAAUUAGUUUCCUACAUAUCUGCUUGAUUGAGGAUUGCAUGACUUUACAAAUGAAUACAUGAGGUUGAAUUCCAGAUCUGAGCUUGGUGUGGUGAUGUGCAAGUCAGGUUUCAACAUCAGUUAUCUCUGAUUUUGUUUAAAAUAAAACUUCCGCUUGCACAGCUGAAAAGCUGCCAAGUCUUAGUCUAAUUUAGUUCUGAUUUGCUUAGGGGUUUUCCACAUGUCUUGGUUAACAAUAAGCAAAAUGUGCACCACCAUGGGAUGUAAUUAUUUUAUUAUUAAAGAAACGGGAAAUAA
Long non-coding RNA from Corvus hawaiiensis (hawaiian crow), 6230 nucleotides. RefSeq lists it as uncharacterized. The record is from RefSeq and is a predicted model, not a curated record. The transcript has 2 exons. Lineage: Eukaryota; Metazoa; Chordata; Aves; Passeriformes; Corvidae.